RNAcentral lists this non-coding RNA (28 nucleotides) under Rattus norvegicus (Norway rat). Lineage: Eukaryota; Metazoa; Chordata; Mammalia; Rodentia; Muridae. The record is from RNAcentral.
UCCCUACUCCAUUGUCUAUGUUAGGUGU